Molecule: ribosomal RNA, 480 nt
Filed under: uncultured bacterium
Lineage: Bacteria
Description: partial 16S ribosomal RNA
Rfam family: Bacterial small subunit ribosomal RNA
Source: RNAcentral
GACGAACGCUGGCGGCGUGCUUAACACAUGCAAAUCGAACGGAAAGGCCCGCUUGCGGGUACUCGAGUGGCGAACGGGUGAGUAACACGUGGGCAACCUGCCCUCAGCUUCGGGAUAACACUUGGAAACAGGUGCUAAUACCGGAUAAUAACCUUUCAUCGCAUGGUGGUUGGUUCAAAGUUUUUCGGCUGAGGAUGGGCCCGCGGCCUAUCAGCUUGUUGGUGGGGUAAUGGCCUACCAAGGCGACGACGGGUAGCCGGCCUGAGAGGGCGACCGGCCACACUGGGACUGAGACACGGCCCAGACUCCUACGGGAGGCAGCAGUGGGGAAUAUUGCGCAAUGGGCGGAAGCCUGACGCAGCGACGCCGCGUGAGGGAUGACGGCCUUCGGGUUGUAAACCUCUUUCAGCUCCGACGAAGCGCAAGUGACGGUAGGAGCAGAAGAAGCACCGGCCAACUACGUGCCAGCAGCCGCCGCGG